AAGUCGUAACAAGGUUUCCGUAGCUUGCUCUGAGCGCCCCGAAAGGUUCGCUUUGUUUACCUUUCGCGGCAGAGGAAGUUACAGAUGCGAGGAAGUCACGAUCCGCGCACGUUGAUACCUUCUUAAUUGGGUUUUUUUCAACUUUGAUGACUGAGAUAUGAUCGGUUCCGGCUGUCAUGGCUGCGAAGUUACACGUUCCGUAGGUGAACCUGCGGAAGGAUCAUUA
RNAcentral lists this ribosomal RNA (226 nucleotides) under Pannaria hookeri. Its description in RNAcentral is "partial 18S ribosomal RNA". The record is from RNAcentral. Lineage: Eukaryota; Fungi; Ascomycota; Lecanoromycetes; Peltigerales; Pannariaceae.